This 529-nucleotide ribosomal RNA is filed under the name uncultured Entrophosporaceae. RNAcentral's name for it is "SSU rRNA". It matches the Rfam family "Eukaryotic small subunit ribosomal RNA", at positions 569 to 1092 of the family's 1831-position model. The record is from RNAcentral. Lineage: Eukaryota; Fungi; Glomeromycota; Glomeromycetes; Entrophosporales; Entrophosporaceae.
AGCAGCCGCGGUAAUUCCAGCUCCAAUAGCGUAUAUUAAAGUUGUUGCAGUUAAAAAGCUCGUAGUUGAAUUUCGGGAUUGGCGCAUCGGUCGUGCCUCACGGGGUAUGAACUGGUGCAGUCAAUUUCUCACCUUCUGGAGAACCGCGAUGUCCUUAAUUGGAUGCCGCGGGGAACCAGGACCUUUACUUUGAAAAAAUUAGAGUGUUUAAAGCAGGCAUUUUUGCUUGAAUACAUUAGCAUGGAAUAAUAAAAUAGGACGGCAUGGUUCUAUUUUGUUGGUUUCUAGGAUCACCGUAAUGAUUAAUAGGGAUAGUUGGGGGCAUUAGUAUUCAAUUGUCAGAGGUGAAAUUCUUGGAUUUAUUGAAGACUAACUACUGCGAAAGCAUUUGCCAAGGAUGUUUUCAUUAAUCAAGAACGAAAGUUAGGGGAUCGAAGACGAUCAGAUACCGUCGUAGUCUUAACCAUAAACUAUGCCGACUAGGAAUCAGACGAUGUUAAUUUUUUAAUGACUCGUUUGGCACCUUACG